UGGGGAAUAUUGCACAAUGGGCGAAAGCCUGAUGCAGCGACGCCGCGUGAGCGAAGAAGUAAUUCGUUAUGUAAAGCUCUAUCAGCAGGGAAGAUAAUGACGGUACCCGAGGAGGAAGCUCCGGCUAACUACGUGCCAGCAGCCGCGGUAAUACGUAGGGAGCGAGCGUUGUCCGGAAUUACUGGGUGUAAAGGGAGCGUAGGCGGGAAGGUAAGUCAGCGGUGAAAUACCUAAGCUCAACUUAGGGGCUGCCGUUGAUACUGCAUAGCUGGAAUAUGGUUGCUGUUGGCGGAAUGUGUAGUGUAGCGGUGAAAUGCAUAGAUAUUACACAGAACACCUAUUGCGAAGGCAGCUGACAAAACCAUUAUUGACGCUGAGGCACGAAAGUGUGGGGAUCAAACA
RNAcentral lists this ribosomal RNA (402 nucleotides) under uncultured bacterium. Its description in RNAcentral is "bacterial SSU rRNA". It matches the Rfam family "Bacterial small subunit ribosomal RNA", at positions 355 to 774 of the family's 1533-position model. The record is from RNAcentral.